GAUGAACGCUGGCGGCGUGCCUAAUACAUGCAAGUCGAGCGAACAGACGAGGAGCUUGCUCCUCUGACGUUAGCGGCGGACGGGUGAGUAACACGUGGAUAACCUACCUAUAAGACUGGGAUAACUUCGGGAAACCGGAGCUAAUACCGGAUAAUAUAUUGAACCGCAUGGUUCAAUAGUGAAAGACGGUUUUGCUGUCACUUAUAGAUGGAUCCGCGCCGCAUUAGCUAGUUGGUAAGGUAACGGCUUACCAAGGCAACGAUGCGUAGCCGACCUGAGAGAGUGAUCGGCCACACGGGAUGUGAGACACGGUCCAGACUCCUACGGUAAGCAGCAGUAGGGAAUCUUCCGCAAUGGGCGAAAGCCUGACGGAGCAACGCCGCGUGAGUGAUGAAGGUCUUCGGAUCGUAAAGCUCUGUUAUUAGGGAAGAACAAAUGUGUAAGUAACUAUGCACGUCUUGACGGUACCUGAUCAGAAAGCCACGGCUAACUACGUG
This 497-nucleotide ribosomal RNA is filed under the name uncultured bacterium. RNAcentral describes it as "partial 16S ribosomal RNA". It matches the Rfam family "Bacterial small subunit ribosomal RNA", at positions 28 to 507 of the family's 1533-position model. The record is from RNAcentral.